CUUUAGUAUUUGCAUGCUGUAUAUGCAAAGGAAAAAAAUGGGUCAACAAAUGCAUUGAGGUUGCUUUAGAUAAGGGUUAAGGUGGCACAUGAGGUCAAUAUCAGGAUUUACGAUUCAGGCAAAACACACAGGAAAACUCGGCAUCGACCGAGAGAAGUGAGAGGCAAGCAGUCUGGAAGUCGGAAGAGGUGAAACUCGGAAUGAAAGGCAGAACUAUAAGCUGGGCGAAAGGAGGUGUGGUGGAGACAGGAGAGGCCUAAUCUGUUUUCCAUGUUCCCAUCCGGUUCUGUUGGAGCUGUUGAAUGGCAGAUAAACAGAGAAGGGGCUAAGGCUGAGGCUUCAUCAAGAGGAUUAAUUCUACUCCUUCUGCUUCCUGGGAACCACCAUCACUGAGGACCUCAAAUGGGAGCCAACCAUCAGGUCCAGCAAAGAAUGUUCUUCUUGAGGCAGCUACGAAAACUACGACUGCAGACGAAGUUGCUGGUGGAGUUCUACACGGCCA
Synchiropus splendidus (mandarinfish) is the source of this 502-nucleotide long non-coding RNA. RefSeq lists it as uncharacterized. The transcript is spliced from 3 exons. The record is from RefSeq and is a predicted model, not a curated record. NCBI's taxonomy places the organism in Eukaryota, Metazoa, Chordata, Actinopteri, Syngnathiformes, Callionymidae.